This 396-nucleotide long non-coding RNA is filed under the name Carica papaya (papaya). RNAcentral's name for it is "long non-coding RNA (CPAP_LNC006439)". The record is from RNAcentral. Lineage: Eukaryota; Viridiplantae; Streptophyta; Magnoliopsida; Brassicales; Caricaceae.
CUUAACAGGUCCUACCCAGUUGAUAAAAAAAAAACUAGGAUACCUUAAACUGCCAUGGAUGAUCUGAAACAAACUGGGUUAGCCUCUGAAUUCAAGAUCUCACAGCCCAGAAAUAAGAGCAUUAAUUGUCUGCAACAUUAACGGGGCUUUACCCUGAUUGUUAAAAGAAAAAGUGAACCAGGAGAUCUAAACAGCCAUGGAAUAGAUAUAUCCAGUGAGUUGAUCAAAUACAGAGCAGAGACAAACUUAGUUAGCUUCUGUAUUAAAGAUCUCACAACCAAAAAAUAAGAUCAUUAAUGGAGUCUGCAACAAGAUCUGCGCUAUAGUAGCAUGAAGAAGAUUCAACGAACAUGGAAUGCUUACAGUGUUGAGGGGUAACUGAGCUUGUGUAUGAUG